Molecule: unclassified non-coding RNA, 208 nt
Filed under: soil metagenome
Description: partial contains 5.8S ribosomal RNA, internal transcribed spacer 2, and large subunit ribosomal RNA
Source: RNAcentral
AACCAUUCUCACCUGCGGCUAGACCUGCGGAGGGAUCAUUAUCGAGUUGCAAAACUCCAACCCUUUGUGAACAUACCUCAGUCGUUGCUUCGGCGGUGGACGGCCUGUUUUUCGGAACGGCCGGAAGCCGCCGGAGGUUCCAAACUCGUAUUUUUUAGUGUAUCUCUGAGCCUGAAAACAAAUAAUCAAAACUUUCAACAACGGAUCU